Molecule: unclassified non-coding RNA, 181 nt
Filed under: uncultured fungus
Lineage: Eukaryota; Fungi
Description: partial internal transcribed spacer 1
Source: RNAcentral
CCUAUCGGAAGACAGGGCCUUUUGUUUUUGUCUGUUUCUGCCGGAUGGCGGCUCCGCCUUAUCCAGCCUACAGGGACGCGCCGAUCCACCCUCAAUAUAACCACAAGCCUUCCCAACACAGAUACGGUAAACUAUUGCCGAUUGAGUAUCAGGAAAGCAGCCAUGACCCACUCCCUAAAAC